GUCCGGAUGGUGUAGGGGCCUAGCAUAGAGCCCUGUCGAGGCUCUGACCCGGGUUCAAAUCCCGGUCCGGGCG
Non-coding RNA from Euryarchaeota archaeon 55_53, 73 nucleotides. NCBI's taxonomy places the organism in Archaea, Methanobacteriati, Methanobacteriota. The record is from Rfam.